Molecule: non-coding RNA, 495 nt
Filed under: Caenorhabditis brenneri
Lineage: Eukaryota; Metazoa; Nematoda; Chromadorea; Rhabditida; Rhabditidae
Description: Eukaryotic small subunit ribosomal RNA
Rfam family: Eukaryotic small subunit ribosomal RNA
Source: Rfam by way of RNAcentral
AAAACGCGCUUUUGAUUCCUGCAUGGCGUCAAAGAUUUUUUCUACACUUUCUUUCUAAUCUAUCGUGCAAAAACAUCGGUCAAAAUAAGGAGCACUUCUCCGACAACAUUCAAGCCAUUACGAUCGUCAGUCCUCUUUCAAUAACGUCGUUUUACCUUGAAUAAAUCAGAGUGCUCAAAACAGGCUUUUGCUUGUAUAGCUCAUCAUGGAACAAUGAAAUAGGACUUCGGUUCUUUUUGUUGGUUCUAGAACUGAUUUAAUGGUUAAGAAAGACAAACCGGGGGCAUUCGUAUCAUUACGCGAGAGGUGAAAUUCGUGGGCCGUAGUGAGACGCCCAAUAGCGAAAGCAUUUACCAAGAAUGUCUUCAUUGAGAACGAAAGUCAGAGGUUCGAAGGCGAUUAGAUACCGCCCUAGUUCUGACCGUAAACGAUGCCAUCUCGCGAUUCGGAGAGUUUUUGCCCUGCCGAGGAGCCGGAAACGAAAGUCUUUCGGUU